RNAcentral lists this ribosomal RNA (497 nucleotides) under uncultured bacterium. Its description in RNAcentral is "partial 16S ribosomal RNA". It matches the Rfam family "Bacterial small subunit ribosomal RNA", at positions 28 to 507 of the family's 1533-position model. The record is from RNAcentral.
GAUGAACGCUGGCGGCGUGCCUAAUACAUGCAAGUCGAACGGACGGACGAGACGCUUGCUUCUCUGAUGUUAGCGGCGGACGGGUGAGAAACACGUGGAUCCCCUACCUAUAAGACUGGGAACACUUCGAGACUCCGGCGCAAAUCCCGUAUAAUCUUUUGAACCGCAUGGUUCAAUAGUGAAAGACGGUCUUGCUGUCACUUAUAGCUGGAUCCGAGCUGCAUGAGCUAGUUGGUAAGGUAACGGCUUACCAAGGCAACGAUGCAUAGCCGACCUGUGAGGGUGGUCGCCCACCUGGGAGCUUGGACACGGUCCAUACGCCUACGGGAGGCAGCAGUAGGGAAUCUUCCGCAAUAGUCGAAAGCCUGACGGAGCAACGCCGCGUGAGUGAUGAAGGUCUUCGGAUCGUAAAACUCUGUUACGAGGUAAGAACAGAUUUGGAAGGAACCGUGGACAGCGUGACGGUACCUAAUCAGAAAGCCCCGGCUAACUACGUG